GAGAUAAUAGCUAAGUGGUAGAUUGUGUGCCUAGCAUGCACAAGGUUCUGGGUUCAAUCCCCAUUACCUCC
This 71-nucleotide transfer RNA is filed under the name Camelus bactrianus (Bactrian camel). It matches the Rfam family "tRNA". From Rfam's summary of the family: Transfer RNA (tRNA) molecules are approximately 80 nucleotides in length. Their secondary structure includes four short double-helical elements and three loops (D, anti-codon, and T loops). RNAcentral also lists the same sequence under 1 other name. Lineage: Eukaryota; Metazoa; Chordata; Mammalia; Artiodactyla; Camelidae. The record is from Rfam by way of RNAcentral.